Protopterus annectens (West African lungfish) is the source of this 679-nucleotide long non-coding RNA. RefSeq lists it as uncharacterized. The record is from RefSeq and is a predicted model, not a curated record. Lineage: Eukaryota; Metazoa; Chordata; Ceratodontiformes; Protopteridae. The transcript is spliced from 3 exons.
UUCAUUUACAUUACAAAAGAGAUUUUGGUUUUGAGGUUGUAGUAAGCUUCCAAAGAAACUGUUUUUCAGACGUUAUUUAUUGGUUUUAAUAAUUAGCAUUAGCUUGUAUCCCUGAUCAGAACUGUCAGUGUUAGUGCCUCAAAAAGGAUCAGAACCAUGAAGUUGGAGGUACCAGAAACCUUUGAAGAUGUUGCAGUUGACUUUUCAAGUGAGGAGUGGAAGUUGUUGAGCAAAGGGGAGAAACGGCUACAUCGCGAGGUGAUGGUACAGAACUAUGAGCACAUGCUGUCAGUAGGUGAAACUUUGAAUGGCACAAGCACUGUGGAAGUACCCUUUCAGAUGUUGGAAGUUCAUUAGCCUGUGAUGAUGAUGGUGGGGAUGAGAUGGCGCAGUCAGGAAAUGCAGUGUGUGUGUGAUGGACACAGGGAGUGUGACCCUCACCUCUCCUACUCAGACUAUGGAGACAGUCUGCAUGCUUAUAUAUACCCAGAACAUAUUACCAUCUCAGAUUGUACAGGUUGGUGGUACACUGUGGCCACUCUUCACGUAAACUCGCUUAGCUCAAUACGGCAAAUGUUUAUAAAUUCAGCCCUGUGUAUAUUGUAACUUAUAAAAUCUAAUGUGAGAUCUGGAAUCUAAUGAAUGUUAUCAAUGUGAAUUAAAGUUUGUGUUGAGCAUG